This 493-nucleotide ribosomal RNA is filed under the name uncultured bacterium. RNAcentral's name for it is "partial 16S ribosomal RNA". It matches the Rfam family "Bacterial small subunit ribosomal RNA", at positions 29 to 523 of the family's 1533-position model. The record is from RNAcentral.
AUUGAACGCUGGCGGCAUGCUUUACACAUGCAAGUCGAACGGUAACAGGUUAAGCUGACGAGUGGCGAACGGGUGAGUAGUGCAUCGGAACGUGCCCGGUCGUGGGGGAUAACGCAGCGAAAGCUGCGCUAAUACCGCAUACGAUCUGAGGAUGAAAGCGGGGGACCGUAAGGCCUCGCGCGAUCGGAGCGGCCGAUGUCAGAUUAGGUAGUUGGUGGGGUAAAGGCUCACCAAGCCAACGAUCUGUAGCUGGUCUGAGAGGACGACCAGCCACACGGGGACUGAGACACGGCCCAGACUCCUACGGGAGGCAGCAGUGGGGAAUUUUGGACAAUGGGCGAAAGCCUGAUCCAGCAAUGCCGCGUGCAGGAAGAAGGCCUUCGGGUUGUAAACUGCUUUUGUACGGAGCGAAAAGGUCUCCUCUAAUACAGGGGGCUCAUGACGGUACCGUAAGAAUAAGCACCGGCUAACUACGUGCCAGCAGCCGCCGCCG